Molecule: ribosomal RNA, 404 nt
Filed under: uncultured bacterium
Lineage: Bacteria
Description: partial 16S ribosomal RNA
Rfam family: Bacterial small subunit ribosomal RNA
Source: RNAcentral
GACGAACGCUGGCGGAGUGCUUAACACAUGCAAGUCGAGCGGAGCGGCGAACGGGUUAGUAACGCGUGAGUAACUGCCCCCCUCUCUGGGAUAACAGGUGGAAACGGCUGCUAAUACCGGAUAGUGGGGGAUGACUCGCGCCCUAUCAGAUUGUUGGGGUGGUAGUGUCAUACCAAGGCGCAGACGGGUAGCCCGCCUGAGAGGGCGACCGGCCACAUUGUGCUGCGAUACGGCCCAUACUCCUACGGGGGGCAGCAGUGGGGAAUAUUGCACAAUGGGGGAAACCCUGAUGCAGCAACGCGCGUGCGUGAUGACGGCCUUCGGGUUGUAAACCGCUUUCAGCCAUGACGCGGUAGUGGCAGAAGAAGCACCGGCUAACUACGUGCCAGCAGCCGCGGUAAUUC